UACGUAGGGUCCGAGCGUUGUCCGGAAUUACUGGGCGUAAAGAGCUCGUAGGUGGUUUGUCGCGUUGUUCGUGAAAACUCACAGCUCAACUGUGGGCGUGCGGGCGAUACGGGCAGACUUGAGUACUGCAGGGGAGACUGGAAUUCCUGGUGUAGCGGUGGAAUGCGCAGAUAUCAAGCGGAACACCGGUGGCGAAGGCGGCCUUCUGGACGAUGACUGACGCUGAGGCGCGAAAGCGUGGGGAGCAAACAGG
This 253-nucleotide ribosomal RNA is filed under the name uncultured bacterium. RNAcentral describes it as "partial 16S ribosomal RNA". It matches the Rfam family "Bacterial small subunit ribosomal RNA", at positions 524 to 776 of the family's 1533-position model. The record is from RNAcentral.